Molecule: ribosomal RNA, 253 nt
Filed under: uncultured bacterium
Lineage: Bacteria
Description: partial 16S ribosomal RNA
Rfam family: Bacterial small subunit ribosomal RNA
Source: RNAcentral
UACGAAGGGGGCUAGCGUUGCUCGGAAUCACUGGGCGUAAAGCGCACGUAGGCGGCUUCUUAAGUCAGGGGUGAAAUCCUGGAGCUCAACUCCAGAACUGCCUUUGAUACUGAGGAGCUCGAGUCCGGAAGAGGUGAGUGGAACUGCGAGUGUAGAGGUGAAAUUCGUAGAUAUUCGCAAGAACACCAGUGGCGAAGGCGGCUCACUGGUCCGGUACUGACGCUGAGACGCGAAAGCGUGGGGAGCAAACAGG